Molecule: ribosomal RNA, 581 nt
Filed under: Micromonospora sp. 3137
Lineage: Bacteria; Bacillati; Actinomycetota; Actinomycetes; Micromonosporales; Micromonosporaceae
Description: bacterial SSU rRNA
Rfam family: Bacterial small subunit ribosomal RNA
Source: RNAcentral
AUGCAGUCGAGCGGAAGGCCCUUCGGGGUACUCGAGCGGCGAACGGGUGAGUAACACGUGAGCAACCUGCCCCAAGCUUUGGGAUAACCCUCGGAAACGGGGGCUAAUACCGAAUAGGACUUCUGGCCGCAUGGCUGGUGGUGGAAAGUUUUUCGGCUUGGGAUGGGCUCGCGGCCUAUCAGCUUGUUGGUGGGGUGAUGGCCUACCAAGGCGACGACGGGUAGCCGGCCUGAGAGGGCGACCGGCCACACUGGGACUGAGACACGGCCCAGACUCCUACGGGAGGCAGCAGUGGGGAAUAUUGCACAAUGGGCGGAAGCCUGAUGCAGCGACGCCGCGUGAGGGAUGACGGCCUUCGGGUUGUAAACCUCUUUCAGCAGGGACGAAGCGAGAGUGACGGUACCUGCAGAAGAAGCACCGGCCAACUACGUGCCAGCAGCCGCGGUAAGACGUAGGGUGCGAGCGUUGUCCGGAUUUAUUGGGCGUAAAGAGCUCGUAGGCGGCUUGUCGCGUCGACCGUGAAAACUUGGGGCUCACCCCCAAGCCUGCGGGUCGAUACGGGCAGGGUUAGAGUUCGGUAG